GAUGAACGCUAGCGAUAGGCUUAACACAUGCAAGUCGAGGGGCAGCAUGGUCUUAGCUUGCUAAGGCUGAUGGCGACCGGCGCACGGGUGCGUAACGCGUAUGCAACUUACCUCACAGAGGGGGAUAACCCGUCGAAAGACGGACUAAUACCGCGUACACUCUAUGUUGGGCAUCCAAUGUAGAGGAAAUGAAAUUCGCUGUGAGAUAGGCAUGCGUCCCAUUAGCUAGUUGGUGAGGUAACGGCUCACCAAGGCGACGAUGGGUAGGGGAACUGAGAGGUUGAACCCCCACGCUGGUACCGCGACACGGACCAGACUCCUACGGGGGGCAGCAGUGAGGAAUAUUGGUCAAUGGGCGAGAGCCUGAACCAGCCAAGUCGCGUGAAGGAUGACUGUCUUAUGGAUUGUAAACUUCUUUUAUACGGGAAUAACAAGAGUCACGUGUGGCUCCCUGCAUGUACCGUAUGAAUAAGCAUCGGCUAACUCCGUG
This 490-nucleotide ribosomal RNA is filed under the name uncultured bacterium. Its description in RNAcentral is "partial 16S ribosomal RNA". It matches the Rfam family "Bacterial small subunit ribosomal RNA", at positions 28 to 507 of the family's 1533-position model. The record is from RNAcentral.